RNAcentral lists this transfer RNA (78 nucleotides) under Microcaldota archaeon. Its description in RNAcentral is "tRNA-Glu". It matches the Rfam family "tRNA". From Rfam's summary of the family: Transfer RNA (tRNA) molecules are approximately 80 nucleotides in length. Their secondary structure includes four short double-helical elements and three loops (D, anti-codon, and T loops). Lineage: Archaea; Nanobdellati; Microcaldota. The record is from RNAcentral.
GCUCCUAUCGUCUAGUCCGGCCAAGGACGCGGGGCUUUCAACCCUGCAACUCGGGUUCAAAUCCCGAUGGGAGCACCA